GUGGGGGAUAACCAUUGGAAACGAUGGCUAAUACCGCAUGAUGCCUACGGGCCAAAGAGGGGGACCUUCGGGCCUCUCGCGUCAGGAUAUGCCUAGGUGGGAUUAGCUAGUUGGUGAGGUAAGUGGCUCACCAAGGCGACGAUCCCUAGCUGGUCUGAGAGGAUGAUCAGCCACACUGGAACUGAGACACGGUCCAGACUCCUACGGGAGGCAGCAGUGGGGAAUAUUGCACAAUGGGCGCAAGCCUGAUGCAGCCAUGCCGCGUGUGUGAAGAAGGCCUUCGGGUUGUAAAGCACUUUCAGUCGUGAGGAAGGUGGUGUAGUUAAUAGCUGCAUUACUUUGACGUUAGCGACAGAAGAAGCACCGGCUAACUCCGUGCCAGCAGCCGCGGUAAUACGGAGGGUGCGAGCGUUAAUCGGAAUUACUGGGCGUAAAGCGCAUGCAGGUGGUUUGUUAAGUCAGAUGUGAAAGCCCGGGGCUCAACCUCGGAAUAGCAUUUGAAACUGGCAGACUAGAGUACUGUAGAGGGGGGUAGAAUUUCAGGUGUAGCGGUGAAA
Molecule: ribosomal RNA, 557 nt
Filed under: uncultured Vibrionaceae bacterium
Lineage: Bacteria; Pseudomonadati; Pseudomonadota; Gammaproteobacteria; Vibrionales; Vibrionaceae
Description: bacterial SSU rRNA
Rfam family: Bacterial small subunit ribosomal RNA
Source: RNAcentral